This 242-nucleotide ribosomal RNA is filed under the name uncultured bacterium. RNAcentral's name for it is "partial small subunit ribosomal RNA". It matches the Rfam family "Bacterial small subunit ribosomal RNA", at positions 26 to 282 of the family's 1533-position model. The record is from RNAcentral.
AGAAUCAACGCUGGCGGCGUGCCUAACACAUGCAAGUCGAACGAGAAAGGGUAGCAAUACCUGAGUAAAGUGGCGCACGGGUGAGUAACACGUGACUAACCUACCUUUUAGUGGGGGAUAACCUAGGGAAACCUGGGCUAAUACCGCAUAAUACCUACGGGUCAAAGCAGCAAUGCGCUGAAUGAGGGGGUCGCGGUCGAUUAGUUAGUUGGCAGGGUAAUGGCCUACCAAGACUGUGAUCG